Molecule: unclassified non-coding RNA, 274 nt
Filed under: Hevea brasiliensis (rubber tree)
Lineage: Eukaryota; Viridiplantae; Streptophyta; Magnoliopsida; Malpighiales; Euphorbiaceae
Source: RNAcentral
GAUCAGAGCGCCGGCCCUCUAUCGGUAAAGGCUUUCGAUCUCGGUCUCGUACUUUUUGUGCACGUUUGCCCGGCGGACCUUCAUUGUCGCCGUGACUUCGUCAUCGUCGUGGUCCAGUUCCUUGGUGAGCAGGUAGAAACGCCGGAUCUGUGAGACCUGCGCAAGUUUCGCGUUGGCGCUGUCGAUCUCGGACUGAAUCAAUUCACGCAAGCUUGCGUUCUCGGUCAGAUUCUUGAAAUUCGUAUAGGCAAUGCCUUCUUCUUCGGCCCACUUC